GCCGCCAUCGCAUAGUGGUAUUGCAAUCGGCUUGAGACCGAUGCCCUUUGGGCUCCCCGGUUCGAUUCCGGGUGGCGGCG
RNAcentral lists this transfer RNA (80 nucleotides) under Candidatus Pacearchaeota archaeon. RNAcentral describes it as "tRNA-Ser". It matches the Rfam family "tRNA". Rfam says of the family: Transfer RNA (tRNA) molecules are approximately 80 nucleotides in length. Their secondary structure includes four short double-helical elements and three loops (D, anti-codon, and T loops). Lineage: Archaea; Nanobdellati. The record is from RNAcentral.